UUUUCCCAUGUACUCUUCCUGGAAAGGUUUUGUAGCAAUUUGGAUUUUUGGAUUAAGGAUGCUCAACCUAUGGUACAUUUUCAUUGAUAGUGAAACAGUUCUAAGUGCAUUGUUACUUGCCCAAGCUUAUUGUAGUUGUUCAAAUCUAUGGAAGAUAGAGUCCAGCUACAAUACAAGUUUCCAGUGGGAUACAGACAGAACAUGACUUGAGAGAUUGAUAGGAUUGGGAACAAUCUCUGGAAGCCUUUCUUGGUGCCAGAUCCAUAGCCAGUUUUCUCUUCUUGGGCAGGAGCUGCCGUUAUACUGUUCUGGGGGGUUGCGGUUUUUCUGGGACAACAAGUUUGACCAUGCAAUGGUGGCUUUCCUGGACUGUGUGCAGCAGUUCAAAGAAGAGGUUGAGAAAGGCGAGACACGUUUUUGUCUUCCCUACAGGAUGGAUGUGGAGAAAGGCAAGAUUGAAGACACAGGAGGCAGUGGCGGCUCCUAUUCCAUCAAAACCCAGUUUAACUCUGAGGAGCAGUGGACAAAAGCUCUCAAGUUCAUGCUGACGAAUCUUAAGUGGGGUCUUGCUUGGGUGUCCU
This 581-nucleotide long non-coding RNA is filed under the name Homo sapiens (human). RNAcentral describes it as "non-protein coding lnc-COA3-2:1". Lineage: Eukaryota; Metazoa; Chordata; Mammalia; Primates; Hominidae. The record is from RNAcentral.